Long non-coding RNA from Mauremys mutica (yellowpond turtle), 1377 nucleotides. RefSeq lists it as uncharacterized. NCBI's taxonomy places the organism in Eukaryota, Metazoa, Chordata, Testudines, Geoemydidae. The record is from RefSeq and is a predicted model, not a curated record. The transcript is spliced from 3 exons.
CAGGAAUUGUGAAGGUGUCCCGGCGUGUUUGCCCAGUGAAAGCUCUUUACAGAGGCACCUGGGGCAUCAGAAGACAACUGUGAGUCACUGUCAUCAAGCCAGUAGAUAUGUUUAAAUGAAAGUCACUGUUAAUGCUUAAAUGCAAGGAAGACAUGGCAUACUGGGCGCCUGAUAAACGAAAGAAGCUUUAAAAGAAGGGGGUGAGAAAAGGCCUAAAUCAGUACAAGAGCUUAAGGAGAGACAGUUUCUGAAACAAUGUUUCAUGUUAGCUGAACAUUGCUGGAAAAGCAGUGUGAGAUAUAUACAAGCUAAUUCAGAAAGAGGAGGCUGACAAGAAUCUGGACCUGUUUGAAUCAAUGCUGAAGCUAUUAACAGGAAUGUUGUGAAGAUGAGCUCAUUGAUUUUCACAAAGACUUCAGAUACUAUGGGGGAGCACCACCAUUACCAAGAAAAUUAUGCUUUAUCAUUGAAUCCUUUCAAGAUAAACAUCUUCAUGCAACUUUAUGCAUGACAUUGCGACUUCAGUCAGCAAAAGAACCAACAUGAUACCACAAUCUGCUGUUCUUUCAAAGAUGUGGAACAACGUCCAAUACAAAAGUGCCUCAGCUCUGUGGAUAUUAGCCUUCUUGGAUGGCAGGCAGGUGCUAAACUUGUCUUUUUGGAAACAUUAAUCGUCAAAGGAGAAGAAAAUGCCUAGCAUUGCAUCAGGACUACAGCACUGUUCACACACUUCUAAUGCAGUCCCACACAUCUGGGAUCACUGCAUUUACAAGUGAAAUUUUCCGGCUGCUGCUAGUGAACCUUGUGCACCUCCUUUAAGCCUCCUUAAGCCUUUUUAAACUGUCAGAAAGUGAGGUGGUAGAAUUCUCUUGCAGCUCCUACAUUUUUAGUCCUGUGAAUUCAGAAUCUGCCUCCCCUACAGAGUUUUAACUCAACAAGAGCAUUAUCACCUACAGGUGUUGAAGGGCCUCUUAACUUCCUUCCCCCACCCUCCCACCUCCCCUGUCCCCUGAAAACCACAACAACUCAUUUUUCUAAAGGUCAAAUAUCUCAAGGGAAAAAGUGCAUACACAACUUUUAUAAAUAUACUUAAUGUGUAACGAAAACUUUCCCACAAAUGCAGCAGUAUUCUCCAGGAGAAUUUUAUUAAGGAAAUUGUCCAAUGUGUCAUUCAUUAACAGCAAAUGUCUGUUUUUCAACUUCAUAAUUAGAAGGAAACAAAUUCACUACCUGUAAAUUGGCUUUCUUCAAUUUACAUCAGUGCACAGGCAAAGGUGAGAAAAAGCAGCUGUUGUGGCUUGCAAAAAGUAAAAUGCAAUUUGUUUCUUUGUUUGUCAACCACAAUGUGCUCCAAUUUCCAAAAAAAGGGACAUAACA